This 508-nucleotide ribosomal RNA is filed under the name uncultured bacterium. RNAcentral's name for it is "bacterial SSU rRNA". It matches the Rfam family "Bacterial small subunit ribosomal RNA", at positions 29 to 518 of the family's 1533-position model. The record is from RNAcentral.
AUAAACGCUGGCGGCGUGCUUAACACAUGCAAGUCGAACGGAGUGGUCCUCCCGAAGACCUGAUUGAGCUUGCUCUUGAUGGAAUUCAUUUGGAUCACUUAGUGGCGGACGGGUGAGUAACGCGUGGGUAACCUGCCCUAUACUGGGGGAUAGCAGUUGGAAACGACUGAUAAUACCGCAUAAGCGCACAGCAUCGCAUGGUGCAGUGUGAAAAACUCCGGUGGUAUAGGAUGGACCCGCGUCUGAUUAGCUAGUUGGUGAGGUAACGGCCCACCAAGGCGACGAUCAGUAGCCGGCCUGAGAGGGUGUACGGCCACAUUGGGACUGAGACACGGCCCAAACUCCUACGGGAGGCAGCAGUGGGGAAUAUUGGACAAUGGGGGAAACCCUGAUCCAGCGAACCGCCGCGUGAGUGAAGAAGUAUCUCGGUAUGUAAAGCUCUAUCAGCAGGGAAGAUAAUGACGGUACCUGACUAAGAAGCACCGGCUAAAUACGUGCCAGCCGCCGC